UUAGGAUCAUUAACAUAGCAGGCUAGGAUCAUUAACAUAGCAGACUAGGAUCAUUAACAUAGCAGACUAGGAUCAUUAACAUAGCAGGUUAGGAUAAUUAACAUAGCAGGUUAGGAUAAUUAGCAUAGCAGGUUAGGAUAAUUAACCUAGCAGGUUAGGAUAAUUAACCUAGCAGGUUAGGGUAAUUAACAUAGCAGGUUAGGAUAAUUAACAUAGCAGGCUAGGAUAAUUAGCAUAGCAGGUUAGGAUAAUUAGCAUAGCAGGUUAGGAUAAUUAGCGUAGCAGGUUAGGAUAAUUAGCGUAGCAGGUUAGGAUAAUUAACGUAGCAGGUUAGGAUAAUUAGCGUAGCAGGUUAGGAUAAUUAGCGUAGCAGGUUAGGAUAAUUAACGUAGCAGGUUAGGAUAAUUAACGUAGCAGGUUAGGAUAAUUAACGUAGCAGGUUAGGAUAAUUAACAUAGCAGGUUAGAAUAAUUAUCAUAGCAGGUUAGGAUAAUUAACAUAGCAGGUUAGGAUAAUUAACAUAGCAGGUUAGGAUAAUUAACAUAGCAGGUUAGGAUAAUUAACAUAGCAGGUUAGGAUAAUUAACAUAGCAGGUUAGGAUAAUUAACAUAGCAGGUUAGGAUAAUUAACAUAGCAGGUUAGGAUAAUUAACAUAGCAGGUUAGGAUAAUUAACAUAGCAGGUUAGGAUAAUUAACAUAGCAGGCUAGGAUAAUUAGCAUAGCAGGCUAGGAUAAUUAACAUAGCAGGUUAGGAUAAUUAGCAUAGCAGGCUAGGAUAAUUAACAUAGCAGGUUAGGAUAAUUAUUAGGGUAAGGAAAAGGUUUAGCUAAAAUGCAACAAACAAAAAAAAUGACUUGACAUUAAUUUACCAAUAGCUGGAUCCCUUCUAGCCAUGACCCCUUUUCAUAGGCCUAGAUUAUAUGGUUAGAUUCUAGACAAGGUCGUUUUCAUUCAUCUGUUGUCAAGUGUCAGCAGAGUAGGCCUACACUACCAUCGUAUUUAAAAAAAUAUAUUCUGCUAAUGUCUCCAGUCAUUUUACAUGAAAUGUUUGUCAUAAGGCCACAGAAAGGUCUCUAGAAUAACCUAUAGGCCGAUGCCACUACCCACUUAUUAAUAGCCUACAUUAUGACCAUCCAAUCUACUCAUCACAUUAGGAAUACUAGACUUACAUUAGUUUGCAAAUGCGAUGAUAAAUGCAUGUUAUAAAAAGGUGCAUGUCUUAAUGGUGCAAAAAUUGCUUCCCCUAAAAUGUUAAACUCACGCAACACAUGCUAAUAGCUAGACUACAAGCUAAUAGCUAGACUACAUGCUAAUAGCUAGACUACAGGCUAAUAGCUAGACUACAGGCUAAUAGCUAGACUACAAGCUAAUAGCUAGACUACAAGCUAAUAGCUAGACUACAGGCUAAUAGCUAGACUACAGGCUAAUAGCUAGACUACAAGCUAAUAGCUAGACUACAAGCUAAUAGCUAGACUACAACAAGCUUUCUUUCCAGCUAAUUUUGUCUAAUAGUGUUGUCAACACCUGGUUAGCAUAACGGCUAAACUAAACUGGAAAUUGAUCAGACUUGACUUACCAGUGAUGAAAUGAUCGUAGCAGACCCUGUACUGACAGUUGUCUGGGUUCAGGUCUUGACUUACCAGUGAUGAAAUGAUCGUAGCAGACCCUGUACUGACAGUUGUCUGGGUUCAGGUCUUGACUUACCAGUGAUGAAAUGAUCGUAGCAGAUCUUGUACUGACAGUUGUCUGGGUUCAGGUCUUGACAGGCAAAAAGGUUUCAUCGCUUUUCUGACAGUUGGUGUAUCCUGGCGUUUCAUGAUUGCGGGGAAUCCAUAAACAUGCCCCCCCCCCCCCGUUGUCUUUCCUGCCAUGUUAGAGCAGCCAAAUACUGAUGAAUCAAAGACGUUUUAGGCACUGUUAUCAUGUUCUUUCUGGAAACUUGUCAGCUGUUAUCGGAAGAAUUAAUGCGGUGGUCUUCCAACAUGGCCACCAGGUGGCAUCAUACGUCAACUG
Molecule: long non-coding RNA, 2013 nt
Organism: Oncorhynchus keta (chum salmon)
Lineage: Eukaryota; Metazoa; Chordata; Actinopteri; Salmoniformes; Salmonidae
Exons: 3
Source: RefSeq, a predicted model, not a curated record